RNAcentral lists this ribosomal RNA (1103 nucleotides) under Salmonella enterica subsp. enterica serovar Enteritidis. Its description in RNAcentral is "partial 23S ribosomal RNA". It matches the Rfam family "Bacterial large subunit ribosomal RNA", at positions 161 to 1304 of the family's 2925-position model. Lineage: Bacteria; Pseudomonadati; Pseudomonadota; Gammaproteobacteria; Enterobacterales; Enterobacteriaceae. The record is from RNAcentral.
AAUCCAUAGGUUAAUGAGGCGAACCGGGGGAACUGAAACAUCUAAGUACCCCGAGGAAAAGAAAUCAACCGAGAUUCCCCCAGUAGCGGCGAGCGAACGGGGAGGAGCCCAGAGCCUGAAUCAGCAUGUGUGUUAGUGGAAGCGUCUGGAAAGGCGCGCGAUACAGGGUGACAGCCCCGUACACAAAAGCGCAUGUGCUGUGAGCUCGAUGAGUAGGGCGGGACACGUGGUAUCCUGUCUGAAUAUGGGGGGACCAUCCUCCAAGGCUAAAUACUCCUGACUGACCGAUAGUGAACCAGUACCGUGAGGGAAAGGCGAAAAGAACCCCGGCGAGGGGAGUGAAAAAGAACCUGAAACCGUGUACGUACAAGCAGUGGGAGCACCCUUUGGGUGUGACUGCGUACCUUUUGUAUAAUGGGUCAGCGACUUAUAUUCUGUAGCAAGGUUAACCGAAUAGGGGAGCCGGAGGGAAACCGAGUCUUAACCGGGCGUUAAGUUGCAGGGUAUAGACCCGAAACCCGGUGAUCUAGCCAUGGGCAGGUUGAAGGUUGGGUAACACUAACUGGAGGACCGAACCGACUAAUGUUGAAAAAUUAGCGGAUGACCUGUGGCUGGGGGUGAAAGGCCAAUCAAACCGGGAGAUAGCUGGUUCUCCCCGAAAGCUAUUUAGGUAGCGCCUCGUGAAUUCAUCUCCGGGGGUAGAGCACUGUUUCGGCUAGGGGGCCAUCCCGGCUUACCAACCCGAUGCAAACUGCGAAUACCGGAGAAUGUUAUCACGGGAGACACACGGCGGGUGCUAACGUCCGUCGUGAAGAGGGAAACAACCCAGACCGCCAGCUAAGGUCCCAAAGUCAUGGUUAAGUGGGAAACGAUGUGGGAAGGCCCAGACAGCCAGGAUGUUGGCUUAGAAGCAGCCAUCAUUUAAAGAAAGCGUAAUAGCUCACUGGUCGAGUCGGCCUGCGCGGAAGAUGUAACGGGGCUAAACCAUGCACCGAAGCUGCGGCAGCGACACUGUGUGUUGUUGGGUAGGGGAGCGUUCUGUAAGCCUGUGAAGGUGUGUCGUGAGGCAUGCUGGAGGUAUCAGAAGUGCGAAUGCUGACAUA